RNAcentral lists this ribosomal RNA (253 nucleotides) under uncultured bacterium. RNAcentral describes it as "partial 16S ribosomal RNA". It matches the Rfam family "Bacterial small subunit ribosomal RNA", at positions 524 to 776 of the family's 1533-position model. The record is from RNAcentral.
AACGUAGGACACAAGCGUUAUCCGGAGUUACUGGGCGUAAAGGGCGCGUAGGCGGCCUACUAAGUCAGACGUGAAAUCCCCCGGCUUAACCUGGGAACUGCGUCUGAUACUGGAAGGCUUGAGGAUGGGAGAGGGAUGUAGAAUUCACGGUGUAGCAGUGAAAUGCGUAGAGAUCGUGAGGAAGACCAGUGGCGAAGGCGGGUCUCUGGACAGUUCCUGACACUGAGGCACGAAGGCCAGGGGAGCAAACGGG